CGUUAAGGGCGUCGAGCGGCGGACGGGUGAGUAAUGCCUGGGAAAUUGCCCUGAUGUGGGGGAUAACCAUUGGAAACGAUGGCUAAUACCGCAUAAUGCCUUCGGGCCAAAGAGGGGGACCUUCGGGCCUCUCGCGUCAGGAUAUGCCCAGGUGGGAUUAGCUAGUUGGUGAGGUAAGGGCUCACCAAGGCGACGAUCCCUAGCUGGUCUGAGAGGAUGAUCAGCCACACUGGAACUGAGACACGGUCCAGACUCCUACGGGAGGCAGCAGUGGGGAAUAUUGCACAAUGGGCGCAAGCCUGAUGCAGCCAUGCCGCGUGUAUGAAGAAGGCCUUCGGGUUGUAAAGUACUUUCAGUCGUGAGGAAGGUAGUGUAGUUAAUAGCUGCAUUGCUUGACGUUAGCGACAGAAGAAGCACCGGCUAACUCCGUGCCAGCAGCCGCGGUAAUACGGAGGGUGCGAGCGUUAAUCGGAAUUACUGGGCGUAAAGCGCAUG
Molecule: ribosomal RNA, 495 nt
Filed under: Vibrio sp.
Lineage: Bacteria; Pseudomonadati; Pseudomonadota; Gammaproteobacteria; Vibrionales; Vibrionaceae
Description: bacterial SSU rRNA
Rfam family: Bacterial small subunit ribosomal RNA
Source: RNAcentral